UAGGGAAUCUUCCGCAAUGGACGCAAGUCUGACGGAGCAACGCCGCGUGAGUGAAGAAGGAUUUCGGUUCGUAAAACUCUGUUGUUAGAGAAGAACAGCGCAUAGAGUAACUGUUAUGCGUGUGACGGUAUCUAACCAGAAAGCCACGGCUAACUACGUGCCAGCAGCCGCGGUAAUACGUAGGUGGCAAGCGUUGUCCGGAUUUAUUGGGCGUAAAGCGAGCGCAGGCGGUCAAUUAAGUCUGAUGUGAAAGCCCCCGGCUCAACCGGGGAGGGUCAUUGGAAACUGGUUGACUUGAGUGCAGAAGAGGAGAGUGGAAUUCCGUGUGUAGCGGUGAAAUGCGUAGAUAUAUGGAGGAACACCAGUGGCGAAGGCGACUCUCUGGUCUGUAACUGACGCUGAGGCUCGAAGGCGUGGGUAGCAAACAGG
Molecule: ribosomal RNA, 429 nt
Filed under: Bacteroidota bacterium
Lineage: Bacteria; Pseudomonadati; Bacteroidota
Description: Bacteroidetes bacterium partial 16S ribosomal RNA
Rfam family: Bacterial small subunit ribosomal RNA
Source: RNAcentral